UACGGAGGAUGCAAGCGUUAUCCGGAAUCAUUGGGCGUAAAGCGUCCGCAGGUGGUUAUUCAAGUCUGCCGUUAAAGCGCGUGGCUCAACCACGUAUAGGCGGUGGAAACUGCAUGACUAGAGUGCGGUAGGGGUAGAGGGAAUUCCCGGUGUAGCGGUGAAAUGCGUAGAGAUCGGGAAGAACACCAGUGGCGAAAGCGCUCUACUGGACCUGCACUGACACUGAGGGACGAAAGCUAGGGGAGCGAAAGGG
Molecule: ribosomal RNA, 253 nt
Filed under: uncultured bacterium
Lineage: Bacteria
Description: partial 16S ribosomal RNA
Rfam family: Bacterial small subunit ribosomal RNA
Source: RNAcentral